Molecule: long non-coding RNA, 788 nt
Organism: Tripterygium wilfordii
Lineage: Eukaryota; Viridiplantae; Streptophyta; Magnoliopsida; Celastrales; Celastraceae
Exons: 2
Source: RefSeq, a predicted model, not a curated record
ACUCACUUCACCAUUACACCCAAUAAAGAAGAAACCACACUUCACCGCUGCAAAAGAGUCUCAACUGCGAUUGUUGAAGCGAUUCUUUUAGUAUCAGGAGGAUAGAAAAUGCGUAAAAUUCUAUAACUAGGGAUUUCAUAACAAGAAGGGACUACAGUUCUUAUUUGAAGGACAAGCUGUUACCGGACAUCAUGCUUUCAAUCCUUCUGCCAUUGUGUUACCUCAAACUAUGAAUGAAGACACUCAAGUCAUAGAUGAAGGUGAAUGGGGAAUUAAAGAUUUGUUUCUUUUUCAAGAUGAUGAUUCAAUUGAUCCAGAGUACGAUGCUAAUGCUGAUGUGGCUGUGGAUGUCUAGAGCUCACCCACUCCACCUGCUCGUGCUAGCAGGAGGUCUACCACUCUAGGGAAUCACAGUAGAAGCAAGAGGAAGGCUAGUGAUGUCCGAGAUGAGAUCAAUGCCUCUUUAGGUCUGCUGGUGAUUGUAGUUUAGAGUCGUACUUCAAUUGCAAAUUCUGUUUAUAAUUCUAAAGACAUAGAUAAUGUUAUGCUUAUGUUAGAAGAGUUUCCAAAGACAUCCAAUGGGGACCUAUGCUAAAGUUUGCACUCAAGUUAUUUAAGAAGGAAGAAGUGGCAGCUGGAGUGGUUGCAAUCAAAGUUUGAUGAGGCUAAUGGUGGAGGAAAUUCGAGCUCCAUUUAGUGAUUCAUGCAUUGGAUGUUUUGUGAAGCAUCUGUUUGUCUCUUAUAUUACUAUGUCAACACUCUGUCAUUCUCUGUCUUAAUUUAUUUGC